UGGCAUAUGGAAGUUCCCAGGCUAGGGAUCCAAUCAGGGCUACAGCUGCCGGCCUACCACAUGGCCACAGCAACUAGAUCCGAGUCGACUCUGCUACCUACACCACAGCUCACAGCAAUGCCAGAUCCCUGAUCCACUGCACAAGGCCAGGGAUCCAGCCCACAUCCUCAUGGAUACUAGUUGGAUUCAUUUCUGCUGGGCCACAACCAAAGAUCCUUAGGCCAGGCUGCUUCUGCUAGAACAUCACAGCUCUUACACUCUAGCAAUUUCUCUGUAGGUCACUUUAUCCUUCCUCUUAAUGACUUGACCUUAGUGAAAUGUAGGUGGUUAGAAGAUACUACUCAUUUCUAGCCCUGUUUAACUUUCCAAAGGUGGAAACAGAGUGUGGUGGACACAACACGAGUGUGAUCGUGCAAAGUUGCUUUUCAACAGUAGGUGAGGAACAAAGUGAAAUUUUUAAAACAAAUUGAUCUGCGUGGAGCAAGCAUCCUUUUUUUUUUGCUUUUUAGGGCCACACCAGUGGCAUAUGGAGAUUCCCAGGCUAGGGGUCGAAUAGGAGCUACAGCUGCCCUAUUCGAACCCACAACCUCAUGGUUCCUAGUUGGAUUCAUUUCCACCGCGCCACGACGGGAACCCCAGCGUCCACAUAAUCUAAUGAAAGAGCAAUCAGUCAAUCAAUCCAAGAGAAACGGAGUCAAUGCCCCCCCCCCACUCCUUUCAAAUUACUGGGAGAUAUAUCUAUAGCAGUCAUUCCUCUAAGCUUAUCUAGAACACUGCAUGAAUUGGGAGCUGAGAGGGGAAAAACCUUAUAUGGAUCCCAAAUAAAUACAACUUGAGGUAAACAGCUUUAAUAUUUACCAAAUGCUUUGGUAUUUACCAAGAAUGGUCAUAAAAAUCAUGUGCCCCAAUAAAAGAAUAUAUGCAUUGUUUAUUUUUCAGACUUCCAAUAACAUACCAAACCCAAAUCUUUCAGCAUGCACGCAAACACACACACACACUUAAAAUACUACCAGUAUCUAAUAAAUAUGUGCAUAUAAGAUUGCACUCAUAAGUUGGCAUAAUUUACUAUACACGUGUGUUCUAUUUUUAUAUACUGAGUUCAUAAGCUGGGUAUAUACAUGCUUUACUGGGAAGAAAAAUCCUUGUCCCUGACCACCAAUGUGCCCCUAAGCGGUACCAUGUGAGGGGACGGGACUUUUAAGGGCACAGAGGAGGGAAGUGGUUUUACUCCAGGUUCCUGAAUAAAUCAUGGAGUCAUAGCUAAGGAACUGAUGACAAAUAGAAACCAAAAAGAAAAGGCGGGGGUUGGGGCAGAAGCCACUUGCACUUUUAGAAUAAUGUCCAAGCGAAGGGGAAGAAAAUAUCCACAAACUUAAUUACGCAUUUGGCUUUGACUGUGAGUGCACCCCAAAUACUCUGAGGAGAGAUCUAAUUGGGAAAUGUCCGAGGCGAAAAAGAGGCAGUUUGAGAAAUUCCUACCCAUCAAGCUUUAUUGUGUUAUUCCAACUAAGCAGAGACAAAAAGACAAAUCUCAGCUCCCUACUUUCAUUUAUAAUUGAACCAGGUCCAGAAGGAUGAAGCAAGUACCAUCUGUAACGCAUGCUGCAUUAGCAGCCGGGAGAAUGAAAUAUUCAAAUUACUCUAGGCUACCUCGCAUAAUGACAGGGCUACAAAAACUGACUUGUAACUGGCGAGGGGAGAGGAAGAAAAUCAAGUUUUGGGGUGGUAUUUUGUUUUAUACUGUUGUUGUUUGAGGGGCAUGAUUUAACCUAACAAAAUGUUAUUCUCAGAGAGAGAGAGAGAAAUAUACCAAAGUAUGCUUGGCUGGAGGGGGGUGCUUUUAAUCUAGUUAUUAUUCUCAGAAAAGCUGAAGAAGGGAGGGAGGAGAUAGAGGGAGGGAGGGAGGAGAAAGGAAGGAAGGAAGGAGGAAAAGAGAGGAAAAGAAAAUGCUAGCCCAAACUUCACCAUUUUAGAAUCCUUCUCACUUUAGAUACAAGAUCCCGUUGUUCCAGUAUUUUGCUUCAUGUAAAUAGGGGCACUAUCUGGGGGUGGGGGAGUGGGUAGAGUUGGAGCUGCUCAUUCAGAUACCGUUAAUCAGGGCUGCUGAAUUGUGUGACAUGGUAAGUGGCUCUAGCCCCUAGCAGUAGUCAAGAUGGAGUGACAGGCUCCAUUUAAGAUGUCACUGCACAUAAUAAAGUGUAAAACUAUACUUAAAAUAAACGAGAUAGAAACAAUAAACUUGACUCAGUAUUUGAACUUUUACAGACACACAGAGACUGGAGGAAAAAGCAUGUGUGCUUUGGGACUUUUCAGAGGCCUCUGCUUCUACAGUGCUUUGCCAGCUGUCAUUUUUAGGGAGAUCCAAUCAGGCUCCAAGUGGCGGUCAAGUGGUCGCAUCUUAUCAUGUGAACUGGGCAUCCAACUAGCUCAUGGCCAAAGCCCCCUGGGGCUCAGUAGCACAAGCCAUUUCCAGGGCCAGGCCUGGAAUCACAAGUCUUCCCUGAAGAGUGCCCCAGAAAGGAAGUGUCUGGCCCCUUACAUCUCCUGGCUCAUCAAUGCUUCUCCCAGCUAAGGUUCUCAGUGUUCCCCAUUGUCCACCUGUGUUGGGGGGCGGGGGGGCGGGGGGGGCUGGCUGCAGCCUGACUUCAGCUCUUUAAAAGGUUUAACACAAUAUUGUCAAGGCUGGUUGGCCCCAAAUUGGAAUGAUACUUUCUUUUUCUCCCUCCAGGCCCUGCAAUUACUGUUACAUGUGGGGGUGGAUUCAAUGUCAAAGCAAAUGUUUUCCUUAUGUUUCUUUCUUUACAAAAGAAAAAAAAAAAAAAUCAUAAAUGGGAGCCAGCAGACAAAGCUGCACCAGCCACCCAGGCUUCUGCGUCACCGACAGGGGUGCUGAGUUUGGACAUCCUUGUGCAUGAGACAGGAGGGCUUCAGCCCGAGAGGUGACCAGCCCCCAGAAACCUGUAUCAGUGCCACGCAUCAGGGCGGAGUUUGGAAGGAACCACUCUCUGCUCUGCUCUCACAGCAGUUCCUGGAAUUUGGGUUCAGCCAAAUAACAUUUUAAUUUGACGACUAUAUAUAUUUAUCACUUACCACUUCCACCUUCCAGCCCCAUCUGCAAUUAGAUCCUAAGUUACUUGAGGACAACUUUAAAACACAUUUUUUUUU
Molecule: long non-coding RNA, 3165 nt
Filed under: Sus scrofa (pig)
Lineage: Eukaryota; Metazoa; Chordata; Mammalia; Artiodactyla; Suidae
Description: lncRNA (ENSSSCG00050010992.1)
Source: RNAcentral